AUGGCCGCACCACCCUCCCUUUCCUGCCUUCUCGAGGAGCCUCGCCGACUGCCGCCACCACCACCACCCCAGGACGGGAUGGAUACAGAGGCGGAGUGGAGGGAUUGGGCGGAGCUGCCACGGGAUGUGUUGCUGGCGGUGCUCAGCAGGCUGGACCACAUCGAGAUCCUCAUGGGGCCGGACAUGGUGUGCAGCCCAUGGCGCAGGGCUGGUACGGACGAGCCCGAGCUGUGGCGCCGCAUCGAUAUGCGCUUUCACUAUGCCGAUGGCUUCUACCUCAACUCGAGGAAAUUGCUUCAGAUGGUGAGAGCUGCCAUGAGGCGUAGUGCGGGUCGGUGCGAGGCCUUCUGGGGCGGGAGCUACGUCACAGAAAGGAUUCUCUCCCUGGUCGGCAACGCGGCGCCAUCCUUGAAGAGCCUUCGACUCAUCGAGUGCCGUGACAUUGUGGACUCGGCCUUCAAGGCGGUGAUCACAAAGUUCCCCAUGCUUGAGGAGUUAGAGAUAUCAAACUGUAUGCACCGCUUCCCAGAAACACUUGAAGUCAUAGGGGAUGCCUGCCCUCUACUGAAGCGCUUUCGACUGAGCCAAAGGUCCUUCUACAGUGAAAUCGUAGAUGACAGCACAGCCAUGGCGAUCGCUAGCAUGUCGGAGUUGCGGUCGUUGCAGCUCACGGCUAAUUCGCUCACCAACAGUGGUUUGGAACUCAUCCUUAAUGGUUGCCCGCUCCUAGAGUCUCUCGACAUCCGGUCUUGUUACCAUAUUUGCAUGGACAAUGAAAUGCAAGCAAAGUGUGCUAGGAUCAAGACUUUGAGGCAUCCUGAAGACUCCAUGGAUGAUUAUGACCUGUCGUUUAAUUAUACAAUUCCCAGACCGUGCUGGUCUGCCGAACCAAUCGAAUACUCUAUGGGAUGUCAAAGUCCUUACUAG
RNAcentral lists this ribosomal RNA (927 nucleotides) under Triticum aestivum (bread wheat). RNAcentral's name for it is "partial small subunit ribosomal RNA". Lineage: Eukaryota; Viridiplantae; Streptophyta; Magnoliopsida; Poales; Poaceae. The record is from RNAcentral.